GCGCCAGCGCCGGCGGAGGUGCUGCCCGCGAAACAUCCCGGGACACGCCGCGGAGCCGGGCGCGCAGCUUUCCUCAGAGGUAUGAUGGAUGCAGGAACACAAAAGGAUUGACAAGCAAGGAGAAGAUUCAGGCUCACUUUUCUUGCUGUCAGCUGCCACGGCAGACAUACCUUCUCAAUCGAAAGAAGGCUGUGAAGGCUGCUCUCUUCUGCUGCCAGAGAGUCUCCCUCAGAGACUCUUCAGAUCUCUGGAGUCCUCUAUGUAGUAUCUCAUGGUUUUGUAUCAAGCCUAUCACAGAACGUCGCUGACCUUAAUAUGUCAGGUGUCUUAACAUUAUCUCUUUUGUAAGGAAUUCUGCAUUCCUUUGCAUUCCUUCCUUGUGCUUCUCUGCACAAGAACUAAAACCAUAACUUCAUACGUACUAUUUUUCUCACCCCGCUUUCACUGU
Corvus hawaiiensis (hawaiian crow) is the source of this 448-nucleotide long non-coding RNA. RefSeq lists it as uncharacterized. The record is from RefSeq and is a predicted model, not a curated record. NCBI's taxonomy places the organism in Eukaryota, Metazoa, Chordata, Aves, Passeriformes, Corvidae. The transcript is spliced from 3 exons.